UAUUUAUUAGAUAAAGAACCAAUAUUUUUGGUGACUCAUAAUAACUUUACGGAUCACAUUAUGUGACAUAUCAUUCAAGUUUCUGACCUAUCAGCUUUAGACGGUAGGGUAUUGGCCUACCGUGGCUAUGACGGGUAACGGGGAAUUAGGGUUCGAUUCCGGAGAGGGAGCCUGAGAAACGGCUACCACAUCUAAGGAAGGCAGCAGGCGCGCAAAUUACCCAAUCCUAAUACAGGGAGGUAGUGACAAGAAAUAACAAUACAGAACCUUACGGUUUUGUAAUUGGAAUGAGUUAAGUAUAAACCCCUUAACAAGUAUCAAUUGGAGGGCAAGUCUGGUGCCAGCAGCCGCGGUAAUUCCAGCUCCAAUAGCGUAUAUUAAAGUUGUUGCAGUUAAAAAGCUCGUAGUUAAUCUUCUGUUAAUUUUUAUAUAUAAUAUUUCGAUAUUUAUAUAAUAUUAACAUAAUUCAUAUUACUUUUUAGUAUAUGAAACUUUACUUUGAGAAAAUUAGAGUGCUUAAAGCAGGCUAUUGCCUUGAAUACUCCAGCAUGGAAUAAUAUUAAGGAUUUUUAUUCUUCUUAUUGGUUCUAGAAUAAAAAUGAUGAUUAAUAGGAACAGUUGGGGGCAUUUGUAUUUAACAGUCAGAGGUGAAAUUCUUAGAUUUGUUAAAGACAAACUACUGCGAAAGCAUUUGCCAAGGAUGUUUUCAUUAAUCAAGAACGAAAGUUAGGGGAUCGAAGACGAUCAGAUACCGUCGUAGUCUUAACCAUAAACUAUGCCAACUAGAGAUUGGAGGUUGUUC
Molecule: ribosomal RNA, 802 nt
Filed under: Cryptosporidium xiaoi
Lineage: Eukaryota; Apicomplexa; Conoidasida; Eucoccidiorida; Cryptosporidiidae
Description: SSU rRNA
Rfam family: Eukaryotic small subunit ribosomal RNA
Source: RNAcentral